AUGAUAAGCAUGCAUGUCUAAGUAUAAACAAUUUUGUACUGUGCAACUGACGAUGCUCAUAAAUCAGUCAUAGUUAUUGAUGGUACGUGCUACAUGGAUAGCUGUGUAGUCUAGAGCUAAUACAUGCAAUCAAGCCCCCGACUUCCUGCGAGGAGGGUGUAGUUAAUUAGAUGAAAAAACCAACAAUGCUUCGCCGCUCCAUUGGUGAUUCAUAAUAACUUCUCGAAUCGCACGGCCUUGCGCGGCGAUGCUUCAUUCAAAUAUCUGCCCUAUCAACUUUCGAUGGUAGGAUAGAGGCUUACCAUGGUUUCAACGGGUAACGGGGAAUAAGGGUUCGAUUCCGGAGAGGGAGCUUGAGAAACGGCUACCACAUCCAAGGAAGGCAGCAGGCGCGCAAAUUACCCAAUCCCGCCACGGGGAGGUAGUGCCAAUAAAUAACAAUAUGGGGUUCUUUCGGUUCUCAUAAUUGGAAUGAGUCCAAUUUAAAUCUCUUAACGAGGACCAAUUGGAGGGCAAGUUUGGUGCCAGCAGCCGCGGUAAUUCCAGUUCCAAUAGCGUAUAUUAAAGUUGUUGCAGUUAAAAAGUUGGUAGUUGAACUUCAGACCUGGCCGGGCGGUCUGCCUAACGGUAUGUACUGUCUGGCUGGGUCUUACCUUUUGGUGAGCCGGCAUGCCCUUUAUUGGGUGCGUCGGGGAACCAGGACUUUUACCUUGAGAAAAUUAGAGUGUUCAAAGCAGCCUUAUGCCUGAAUACAUUAGCAUGGAAUAAUAAAAUAGGACGUGCGGUUUUAUUUUGUUGGUUUUUAGAGUCGCCUUAAUGAUUAAUAGGGAUAGUGGGGGGCACUAGUAUUCAGUUGCUAGAGGGGAAAUUCUUGGAUUUACUGAAGAUUAAUUACUGGGAAACCAUUUGCCAAGGAUGUUUUCAUUAAUCAAGAACGAAGGUUAGGGGAUCGAAAACGAUCAGAUACCGUUGUAGUCUUAACCGUAAACUAUGCCGACUAGGGAUCGGGCGACCUCAAUCUUAUGUGUCCCUCGGCACCUUACGAGAAAUCAAAGUCUUGGGUCUGGGGGAGUAUGCCACC
This 1081-nucleotide ribosomal RNA is filed under the name Tuber sp. RNAcentral's name for it is "SSU rRNA". It matches the Rfam family "Eukaryotic small subunit ribosomal RNA", at positions 40 to 1132 of the family's 1831-position model. Lineage: Eukaryota; Fungi; Ascomycota; Pezizomycetes; Pezizales; Tuberaceae. The record is from RNAcentral.